RNAcentral lists this long non-coding RNA (208 nucleotides) under Homo sapiens (human). RNAcentral describes it as "non-protein coding lnc-TTC39A-4:1". Lineage: Eukaryota; Metazoa; Chordata; Mammalia; Primates; Hominidae. The record is from RNAcentral.
ACACCCUCCCCUACCUGAUAUGGCGGCGGCGGCUCCUGAUCCGGCUCCGUCCCCUCGCCAAAGCUAGCCCGGUCGGACUGAGACUCGUGAAGCAGGGAGAUGUCAUCCGAGGUGGGGGAUUUGAGGCAGUUCCCCAUCUUCCGGAGCUGGGGUGCGUGAUCUGGGGGAGGAGAAAGCAGCGGUGGGGUCGUUCGCACACUCCGCGGUC